CCCACCCGUGUUUAUUUUACCUUGUUGCUUCGGCGGGCCCGCCUUAACUGGCCGCCGGGGGGCUUACGCCCCCGGGCCCGCGCCCGCCGAAGACACCCUCGAACUCUGUCUGAAGAUUGUAGUCUGAGUGAAAAUAUAAAUUAUUUAAAACUUUCAACAACGGAUCUCUUGGUUCCGGCAUCGAUGAAGAACGCAGCGAAAUGCGAUACGUAAUGUGAAUUGCAAAUUCAGUGAAUCAUCGAGUCUUUGAACGCACAUUGCGCCCCCUGGUAUUCCGGGGGGCAUGCCUGUCCGAGCGUCAUUGCUGCCCUCAAGCACGGCUUGUGUGUUGGGCCCCGUCCUCCGAUCCCGGGGGACGGGCCCGAAAGGCAGCGGCGGCACCGCGUCCGGUCCUCGAGCGUAUGGGGCUUUGUCACCCGCUCUGUAGGCCCGGCCGGCGCUUGCCGAUCAACCCAAAUUUUUAUCCAGGUUGACCUCGGAUCAGGUAGGGAUACCCGCUG
Molecule: ribosomal RNA, 500 nt
Filed under: Penicillium chrysogenum
Lineage: Eukaryota; Fungi; Ascomycota; Eurotiomycetes; Eurotiales; Aspergillaceae
Description: eukaryotic LSU rRNA
Rfam family: 5.8S ribosomal RNA (bases 149-301)
Source: RNAcentral